GGCAUGACUCUCGGCAAUGGAUAUCUCGGCUCUUGCAUCGAUGAAGAGCGCAGCGAAAUGCGAUACGUGGUGCGAAUUGCAGAAUCCCGCGAAC
RNAcentral lists this ribosomal RNA (94 nucleotides) under Telipogon falcatus. Its description in RNAcentral is "5.8S ribosomal RNA". It matches the Rfam family "5.8S ribosomal RNA", at positions 1 to 89 of the family's 154-position model. From Rfam's summary of the family: 5.8S ribosomal RNA (5.8S rRNA) is a component of the large subunit of the eukaryotic ribosome. It is transcribed by RNA polymerase I as part of the 45S precursor that also contains 18S and 28S rRNA. The record is from RNAcentral. Lineage: Eukaryota; Viridiplantae; Streptophyta; Magnoliopsida; Asparagales; Orchidaceae.